UAGGGAAUAUUGCAAAAUGGGCGCAAGCCUGAUGCAGCAACGCCGCGUGGGCGAUGAAGGCCUUCGGGUCGUAAAGCCCUUUUUGAGGGGAUGAGGAAGGACAGUACCCUCAGAAUAAGCCUCGGCUAACUACGUGCCAGCAGCCGCGGUAAAACGUAGGAGGCGAGCGUUAUCCGGAUUUACUGGGCGGAAAGCGCGUGCAGGCGGAUUGGAGGGUUGGAUGUGAAAGCUCCCGGCUUAACUGGGAGAGGUAGUUCAAUACUUCCA
RNAcentral lists this ribosomal RNA (267 nucleotides) under uncultured bacterium. RNAcentral's name for it is "partial 16S ribosomal RNA". It matches the Rfam family "Bacterial small subunit ribosomal RNA", at positions 355 to 638 of the family's 1533-position model. The record is from RNAcentral.